Molecule: long non-coding RNA, 1611 nt
Organism: Oxyura jamaicensis (ruddy duck)
Lineage: Eukaryota; Metazoa; Chordata; Aves; Anseriformes; Anatidae
Exons: 2
Source: RefSeq, a predicted model, not a curated record
AUCAUCCUGUAUAUAGAAGAGUUCAAAUAAAUAGCUAAUCGUUAUUAAGUUAGUGUUACAGCCAAGUUCUAUACACUUACCUCAAGCUGGCAAAAUGUUGGCUAAGAAAAUAAUUUCCUUGCCUGUAAUGUCAUGCUUAUUUUUGAAACAAAGGCUGUGAUACUUUUUUAAUAAAUGAGCAGUUCUUGUAAGAAGAUUUUAAGUGCAAUAUUAACAAUUAAUAGAUAUGUGAGAUAUUAUAGGUUUCCUUAAAAAGCAUAUUAAAUACUCUGUUUCCUGACCUGUGGGUGGGAUGGUUGAGGAGAAGAAACAGUCUUUGUUUAACUUUUAAUUCACAUCUAACGUGAGUGAAGCUCAGUAAAGGAGCAAGGCUUCUUCAUGGCUUCAUGGUCCAGAAUGCAAUGAAUCUUCUGCUUCCAAGUACAGAUCCCUUAAAUUUCUCGAAUCUUUGCGCAAAGCAGUAUAUCUGCUCCUUGAGCAAAUCCUACCCCAUCUAUCUGCAGCAGAUUACCUGUCUGCAUUUUCAAGCCUCAGCCUGGCAAACUGCUCACUCUCCUACUGAGAAAGUAAGAGUUCAGACCUGUCUUGUCUGGUGAGUAUAAACAUGGAAAACAGAUGCAAAACCAGAGCAAGUAGAAAAGAUAUGGGAAAGGCCAUGUGCGUUCAAAGGUGUGUAGUUCAGGAAGGUAGGAGUAGAACCAGUGACAGUUGCAAACAUAUCCAGGACAAGGGUGAAAGAUCAUAAGAUCUUGUAAAUGGAGGUGUUGAAUAACUGAGCUGUGCUACACUGAGGCAGAAGUGCAGUGGAGACGUGGUAGUCCCUGUGUCAUGUCAACGUGAUGUAUAAUAGGUGGUGUAGAAGGGAAAAUACUGCUAAAAAUCCUGUGAGACUUCACUGUAUUUCUACAAGUUUAUUAUUUUUAUCAAGGUGCUUUUCUUAACAGCACAAGGGGAUUACCAAGAACUGCUUGCCCACUGUUCAGAUGUGCUCUGUGCAUGUGGCUUUUAUAUACACAUAUAUAUGUGUGUGUGUAUAUAUAUAUGCUUUAUUUUUACUUUUAGAAGUGAAUAUGUGGAAUAAGUGCUUUGUUCUUAGAGAUGUAUUUAAUUGCUGUCAUUUAGAAAUUUGAAAUAAUAUGAAUAAAGGUCUUCAGUGUUUACUGGGCAAUGGAGUAUUGAGCAUUAUGUGCCUUUGAAAAGUGACUUUCUAAGGUAAAUUGGUCUUACUGGUUAGAUGAGACAAAUUGUAUGUUUUGUUGGCAGGGACAACCACAAAUGAUGAAUCACUAGAGUCCCCACCUCUCAAAGAGAAAAUAUGGUAUAGUAGUUAAGUGGGAUUUUAAAUUCUUUUUCAGCAAAGUGUUUAUUUAAGGUGGUUAACUUUUAAACAGGCUCCAGCCUCAGUAAAUUAAAGGGACAUUAAAACAGGUGUUUGCAGAUAAACGUGUGACUCAAGAAUGUUGUUUAUUUUGGCCUUAUUGUUUUAAGUGCCCAUUCUAGACUAGCUGCUAGCGGUGGGACACGUCCAGCUUCUGGCUUUAUUUUUACUGUACUGGCUUACAAAUAAAGAUAUUGCCUAUGUAAGAAGUUUUCCACACAUCUAUUUAAAAA